AAGCACCCCGGAAGGGGAGUGAAAGAGAUCCUGAAACCGUGUGCCUACAAGUAGUCAGAGCCCGUUAACGGGUGAUGGCGUGCCUUUUGUAGAAUGAACCGGCGAGUUACGAUCCCAUGCAAGGUUAAGCUGAUAAGGCGGAGCCGUAGCGAAAGCGAGUCUGAAUAGGGCGUUUAGUAUGUGGUUGUAGACCCGAAACCAGGUGAUCUACCCAUGU
This 217-nucleotide ribosomal RNA is filed under the name Priestia aryabhattai. RNAcentral describes it as "Bacillus aryabhattai partial 23S ribosomal RNA". It matches the Rfam family "Bacterial large subunit ribosomal RNA", at positions 519 to 739 of the family's 2925-position model. The record is from RNAcentral. Lineage: Bacteria; Bacillati; Bacillota; Bacilli; Caryophanales; Bacillaceae.